CGCGAGGUUUUCAACCCCACUCCAUUGAAUGGCAAAUACUGUACUCUACGUGGAUACUUUGAAAAAUACCUGAACAAGACACGCUACUAGACGAACCCAAUAUCACAGGUAGACGUGAUUUUGAAAAGUCGUUUACCAUCGCACAUUAGAGAAAAAUUAGUCACAACGCCAGAGGACGACACUGGCUAUUUUCUGUCAGUCCUUAACUCUAUCGACUUAAUCUAUGAGGAAAGAGCCAAUAGAGCAACAGAGAAUCAGCACAACAACAAAUAAAGGUUCUGUAAAUCAGUCAAUAAAACGUCAUCCCAAUACACAACAAAGAUGGUACGCACAACAAAGUUACAUGCCCGGAGGUAACGAGUACGGCAACCACACCAUGCAACUAACUGAAAUUACUCCAGAUAAUGAAUUACGUCACACUACGCCGUCGGAAAACACCAACCUGUCGUGGUUAAACCACAGGCAAUUGACCUCUCUAGGAGUGGGGGCGAAGCAAAACUACAAACCUGUUUUAUAAUAUUUGACAAAGUGACAUCAAGGAUGAUUUGUAUCAACACGAAUCAGAUGCAGUAGAUAAAAUCCGACAGAAACAUAAAAUGUUGGGCCUUCUUCAAUAUUCAUACUACAUAAUUACAGAAAAAGUGGAAUACAUACAGAAAAGCUUUCAUUGGUACGAGAUGAUACAUGCAAAUGGAGAAAAGAUCUUAACUUCAUAAAUGGCAGAUCAAAGCUACAAGGAAUUGUAUGCAAGAAAGUAUCGACCAAAUGGAUUACCUGAAGGAAAGAAAAAUUGCAGCUUGUUGAAGAUACAAGAUAUAAAUAGGUUUCACAUGUGUUUUAUGGCAUUAAACACAAAACCAGGCAAGGCGCCUUCCUCCAUAAGUAUUGUUCAACAGUUCUACCAAAAAGGGAGAGACUU
Molecule: long non-coding RNA, 919 nt
Organism: Schistocerca gregaria
Lineage: Eukaryota; Metazoa; Arthropoda; Insecta; Orthoptera; Acrididae
Exons: 4
Source: RefSeq, a predicted model, not a curated record